RNAcentral lists this long non-coding RNA (440 nucleotides) under Lupinus angustifolius (narrow-leaved blue lupine). Its description in RNAcentral is "long non-coding RNA (LANG_LNC003231)". Lineage: Eukaryota; Viridiplantae; Streptophyta; Magnoliopsida; Fabales; Fabaceae. The record is from RNAcentral.
AUCAGCAAGCACCAAGUCACGUCCCAGUCAACACGGUCAGAAGCUGCUGAACAAGCAGCUCAGCGGUGAAGCAGGUGCGAUGGGCGGUGCUUACCAGACUUGACUUAACCAUCAAGCAAACCAUGAAGUCAUCCAUGACCUCACCUCAAGUAGCCCACCAUAGGCUUUUUAGAAGUAGCUCACAAUAGCUGGUCUCAUAGUCCACAACUAGCUUUGAUGAGUCAUGCACAAGGAGGUGACUAAGCUACUUGGUCAAGGGACCAAACCCAUGCUGAAGGGUUUGGUCAACUGCUGAGCGGUCCAGCUCAACAGCUCAGAGGUAUGGAAUGGAGCCUAUAAAUAGAGGUCAUUUCCUUCGAGCAAAAAAGAGAGUAAUACACCAUUUCUUCAUAAAAUUCUCUCAAAAAUACUUGAAGGUCAGAAUUCUCUCAUUUAGGAAU